AUGAACGCUGGCGGCGUGCUUAACACAUGCAAGUCGAACGAUUAAAGACUCACUUCGGUGAGUGUAUAGAGUGGCGAACGGGUGAGUAACACGUGGGAAACCUGCCCCUUUCUUCGGGAUAACUUCGGGAAACCGUUGCUAAUACCGGAUACUCCGGGAUGGUCGCAUGGCCGACCCGGGAAAGCUUUAUGUGGAAAGGGAUGGUCCCGCGGCCCAUUAGCUUGUUGGUGGGGUAAUGGCCUACCAAGGCGAUGAUGGGUAGCCG
This 265-nucleotide ribosomal RNA is filed under the name uncultured bacterium. RNAcentral describes it as "partial 16S ribosomal RNA". It matches the Rfam family "Bacterial small subunit ribosomal RNA", at positions 29 to 289 of the family's 1533-position model. The record is from RNAcentral.